AAAGACAGGCUAGGAGGCGGGGUCUGCCUGGUCUCCAUGGUAAUCCCUGGUGUUUUGUGAUCAAUGAAGAGCUUUCCUGUAACACCGGCAGUGCCAGGCCCAGCUCUAUGAACCGGUGAUGCCCACCAGCAAGCCCAAUGACUACCUUUUGCUGUCCAUCUUGGGCCUCUUUUGUUGCUUCCCGCUAGCUAUCCCAGCAUUGAUCUUUUCUGUUGAGACAAGGACCCACAACAGAACAAAUGACUAUAACAUGGCAACAAAGACCUCCAAACAAGCCUUCUUCUGGGCCAUCUUGAGCAUUGUCGUGGGACUCUCAAGCCCUUUCUUAGUUUUCUUCCUGCUGCACUUAACUAAGUUGUAACCUCCUUCCUAGCUCACGAACAAACCACCAAAUAUACACAAGAGUACAAUCGA
Molecule: long non-coding RNA, 414 nt
Organism: Microcebus murinus (gray mouse lemur)
Lineage: Eukaryota; Metazoa; Chordata; Mammalia; Primates; Cheirogaleidae
Source: RefSeq, a predicted model, not a curated record